This is a long non-coding RNA of Acanthopagrus latus (yellowfin seabream), 312 nucleotides long. RefSeq lists it as uncharacterized. The record is from RefSeq and is a predicted model, not a curated record. Lineage: Eukaryota; Metazoa; Chordata; Actinopteri; Spariformes; Sparidae. The transcript has 3 exons.
GGCUAUAGGAGGAGAUCAUUUUCAGAAAGCUCCUUCAUGUCUGCGAGCUCACAUCAAAGAGCUGCUGAAAGGCAUUCUGGGAGAGGGAGGCUCAUUAGAUCGGAUCGUGCAGCGUUCAGUCUGUCCGUCAGCAGACUGUGACAGGCGGAGUUGGCUGAUCCCAGGUCUGCCAGCGAUGCAGCUCCACCUCUGGGCCAAAGCAACAGUUAUCCUGCAGCUCCGGGUGCAUAGAAAACAGCUAAUUGUAGAUGGAUAUCCCUGCUGCACCUGAUCACCGCAGAAACCAUCACAGAGGAGGAAGCAGCUUUUUUU